This 468-nucleotide ribosomal RNA is filed under the name uncultured bacterium. Its description in RNAcentral is "partial 16S ribosomal RNA". It matches the Rfam family "Bacterial small subunit ribosomal RNA", at positions 28 to 507 of the family's 1533-position model. The record is from RNAcentral.
GACGAACGCUGGCGGCGUGCUUAACACAUGCAAGUCGAACGGAAAGGCCCUGCUUUUGUGGGGUUCUCGAGUGGCGAACGGGUGUGUAACACGUGUGUAUUCCCCCCUUGUCUUUGGGAUAACUUCUGGAAACUGGGGCUAAUAUCGGAUAGGAGCUCUUGCUGCUUGGUGGUGGUUGGAAAGUUUCGGCGGUUGGGGAUGGACUCGCGGCUUAUCAGCUUGUUGGUGGGGUAGUGGCGUACCAAGGCUUUGACGGGUAGCCGGCAUGAGAGGGUGACCGGCCACAUUGGGACUAAGAUAGGGCCCAGACUCCUAAGGAGGGCAGCAGGGGGGAAUAUUGCACAAGGGGCGGAAGCCUGAUGCAGCAAGGCCGCGGGCGGAAAGACGGGUUUCGGGUGGAAAACCGCUUUGGCAUGUGACGAAGCGUGAGUGACGGUAAUGAGUAAAGAAGCACCGGCUAACUACGUG